Small nuclear RNA from Anolis carolinensis (green anole), 105 nucleotides. Its record names the gene U2. It matches the Rfam family "U2 spliceosomal RNA". Rfam says of the family: U2 is a small nuclear RNA (snRNA) component of the spliceosome (involved in pre-mRNA splicing). NCBI's taxonomy places the organism in Eukaryota, Metazoa, Chordata, Lepidosauria, Squamata, Anolidae. The record is from Ensembl.
AUCGCUUCUCGGCCUUUUGGCUAAGAUCAAGUGUAGUAUCUGUUCUUAUCAGUUUAAUAUCUGAUACAUCCUCUAUUUGAGGACUAUAUAUCUGGGCCAGGCUGU